GUCUAUGGCUAUGACACCAUGAACAAGCCCAAUCCCUCCUGAUGUCGGAAGCUAAGUAAGGUUGGGCCUGGUUAGUACUUGGGUGAGAGACCACCUAGGAAGACUAGGUGCUGUAGGCA
This 119-nucleotide ribosomal RNA is filed under the name Pteropus alecto (black flying fox). The record is from RNAcentral. Lineage: Eukaryota; Metazoa; Chordata; Mammalia; Chiroptera; Pteropodidae.